Molecule: long non-coding RNA, 400 nt
Organism: Zophobas morio
Lineage: Eukaryota; Metazoa; Arthropoda; Insecta; Coleoptera; Tenebrionidae
Exons: 4
Source: RefSeq, a predicted model, not a curated record
UAGGAUCUACAAAGCUAUUGAAAAGUUGGGCUGGUCAAAACCAACUUUAAUUCAACAAGAAGGUAUUACUCUCGGGUUAAAUGGGAAAGAUAUUGUUGCAAGAGCAAGGACAGGUUCCGGAAAGACCGCUACUUACUUAAUACCUAUUAUAUCUCACAUUUUAAAGUUGAAGCCGUCAUCACCUCUAAGUGUGAAGUGUUUAAUCCUUGUUCCUACCAAGGAAUUAUGUGAGCAAGUUUAUCAGCAAACUUGUGCUCUUUUAAAAUAUUGCGGAACGGAAGUAACUUUACUAGCGUUGUCUAGUUCUGUUUCUCUUUCUGCUCAAAAACCAGGUUUAUUGGAGAAGCCUGAUAUAGUUAUUGCCACUCCAAGUAGAGCUCUUGCUCAUCUUAAGUCAAAG